Molecule: ribosomal RNA, 735 nt
Filed under: Saccharomycetales sp. LM135
Lineage: Eukaryota; Fungi; Ascomycota; Saccharomycetes; Saccharomycetales
Description: bacterial SSU rRNA
Rfam family: Eukaryotic small subunit ribosomal RNA (bases 1-345)
Source: RNAcentral
CCGCACGCGCGCUACACUGACGGACCAGCGAGUAUAAACCUUGGCCGAGAGGUCUGGGAAAUCUUGUGAAACUCCGUCGUGCUGGGGAUAGAGCAUUGUAAUUAUUGCUCUUCAACGAGGAAUUCCUAGUAAGCGCAAGUCAUCAGCUUGCGUUGAUUACGUCCCUGCCCUUUGUACACACCGCCCGUCGCUACUACCGAUUGAAUGGCUUAGUGAGGCUUCCGGAUUGGUUUAGAGAAGGGGGCAACUCCAUCUUGGAACCGAGAAGCUAGUCAAACUUGGUCAUUUAGAGGAAGUAAAAGUCGUAACAAGGUUUCCGUAGGUGAACCUGCGGAAGGAUCAUUACAGAAUGAAAGUGCUUAACUGCAUUUUUUUACACAUGUGUUUUUCUUUUUUUUUGAAAACUUUGCUUUGGUGGGCCCAUGGCCUGCCAGAGAUUAAACUCAACCAAAUUUUAUUUAAGUCAACUGAUUAACUAAUAGUCAAAACUUUCAACAACGGAUCUCUUGGUUCUCGCAUCGAUGAAAAACGCAGCGAAAUGCGAUAAGUAAUAUGAAUUGCAGAUAUUCGUGAAUCAUCGAAUCUUUGAACGCACAUUGCGCCCUUUGGUAUUCCAAAGGGCAUGCCUGUUUGAGCGUCAUUUCUCCCUCAAACCUUCGGGUUUGGUGUUGAACGAAACCCUGGGUUUGCUUGAAAAAAGGCGGAAUAAAACCAAAGGGAAGGUUUUUUUCCCUC